Molecule: ribosomal RNA, 250 nt
Filed under: uncultured bacterium
Lineage: Bacteria
Description: partial 16S ribosomal RNA
Rfam family: Bacterial small subunit ribosomal RNA
Source: RNAcentral
UACGUAGGGGGCGAGCGUUGUCCGAAUUUACUGGGCGUAAAGCGCGUGUAGGCGGUCCUUUAAGUCAGGUGUGAAAUCCUGUGGCUCAACCACAGAACUGCAUUUGAAACUGAAGGGCUUGAGUGUGGGAGAGGAAAGUGGAAUUCCUGGUGUAGCGGUGAAAUGCGUAGAUAUCAGGAGGAACACCCGUGGCGAAGGCGGCUUUCUGGCCCACCACUGACGCUGAGACGCGAAAGCUAGGGGAGCGAAC